This 448-nucleotide ribosomal RNA is filed under the name uncultured bacterium. RNAcentral describes it as "bacterial SSU rRNA". It matches the Rfam family "Bacterial small subunit ribosomal RNA", at positions 355 to 825 of the family's 1533-position model. The record is from RNAcentral.
UGGGGAAUAUUGGACAAUGGGCGAAAGCCUGACCCAGCAACGCCGCGUGAAGGAUGAAGUAUUUCGGUAUGUAAACUUCGAAAGAAUAGGAAGAAUAAAUGACGGUACUAUUUAUAAGGUCCGGCUAACUACGUGCCAGCAGCCGCGGUAAUACGUAGGGACCAAGCGUUGUUCGGAUUUACUGGGCGUAAAGGGCGCGUAGGCGGCAAUUCAAGUCAUCUGUGAAAUCUCCGGGCUUAACUCGGAACGGUCAGAUGAUACUGCUUUGCUAGAGUGCAGAAGGGGCAAUCGGAAUUCUUGGUGUAGCGGUGAAAUGCGUAGAUAUCAAGAGGAACACCUGAGGUGAAGACGGGUUGCUGGGCUGACACUGACGCUGAGGCGCGAAAGCCAGGGGAGCAAACGGGGAUUAGAUACCCCCGUAGUCCCUGAGCGGGCUGGCAAGGCGCAU